This 424-nucleotide ribosomal RNA is filed under the name uncultured bacterium. RNAcentral describes it as "partial 16S ribosomal RNA". It matches the Rfam family "Bacterial small subunit ribosomal RNA", at positions 354 to 796 of the family's 1533-position model. The record is from RNAcentral.
GUGGGGAAUAUUGCACAAUGGGCGAAAGCCUGAUGCAGCAACGCCGCGUGAAGGAAGAAGGCCCUUGGGUCGUAAACUUCUGUUCUAAGGGAAGAUAAUGACGGUACCUUAGGAGCAAGUCCCGGCUAACUACGUGCCAGCAGCCGCGGUAAUACGUAGGGGGCGAGCGUUAUCCGGAAUUAUUGGGCGUAAAGAGUACGUAGGUGGUUAUCUAAGCGAGGGGUUUAAGGCAAUAGCUCAACUAUUGUUUGCCCCGCGAACUGGGUGACUUGAGUGCUGGAGAGGAAAGCGGAAUUCCUAGUGUAGCGGUGAAAUGCGUAGAUAUUAGGAGGAACAUCAGUGGCGAAGGCGGCUUACUGGACUGUAACUGACGCUGAGGCGCGAAAGUGUGGGGAGCAAACAGGAUUAGAUACCCUGGUAGUCC